GACGAACGCUGGCGGCGUGCUUAACACAUGCAAGUCGAACGGAAAGGCCCUGCUUUUGUUGGGUUCUCGAUUGGCGAACGGGGGAGUAACACAUGAGUAACCUGCCCUUAUCUUUCGGGUAACUUCAGGGAACUGGGGCUAAUACCGGAUAUGAUCUCCUGCUCCAUGGUGGGGGUUGGAAAGUUUCGGCGGUUCGGGAUGGACUCGCGGCUUAUCAGCUGGUUGGUGUGGUAGUGGCUUACCAAGGCUUUGACGGGUAGCCGGCCUGAGAGGGUUACCGGCGUCAUGGGGACUGAGAUACGGCGCAGACGCCUACGGGACGCAGCAGUGGGGAAUAUUGCAGAAUGGGCGGAAGUCUGAUGCAGCAACGCCGGGUGCGGGAUGACGGCCUUCGGGUUGUAAACCGAUUUCGCAUGUGACGAAGCGUGAGUGACGGUAAUGGGUAAAGAAGCAACGGCUAACUACGUG
This 468-nucleotide ribosomal RNA is filed under the name uncultured bacterium. Its description in RNAcentral is "partial 16S ribosomal RNA". It matches the Rfam family "Bacterial small subunit ribosomal RNA", at positions 28 to 507 of the family's 1533-position model. The record is from RNAcentral.